Molecule: ribosomal RNA, 499 nt
Filed under: uncultured bacterium
Lineage: Bacteria
Description: partial 16S ribosomal RNA
Rfam family: Bacterial small subunit ribosomal RNA
Source: RNAcentral
GAUGAACGCUGGCGGCGUGCCUAACACAUGCAAGUCGAGCGAGAAGUUUGAAAAAUGAGUUUUCGGACAAGUGAUUCAAACGGAAAGCGGCGGACGGGUUAGUAACGCGUAGGCAACCUGCCACGUGCAGAGGGCCAGCCCCGGGAAACCGGGAUGAAGACCUCAUGAUAUCGGUUUAUCACAUGGUAAUCCGGCCAAAGAUUUAUCGGCAUGGGCUGGGCCUGCGUCUGAUUAGCUGGUUGGUGGGGUAACGGCCUACCAAGGCGACGAUCAGUAGCAGAACUGAGAGGUUCAUCUGCCACAUUGGAACUGAGACACGGACCAAACACCUACGGGAGGCAGCAGUGAGGAAUAUUGCACAAUGGGCGAAAGCCUGAUGCAGCAACGCCGCGUGAGCGAAGAAGGCCUUUGGAUCGUAGAGCUCUGUCCUUGGGGAAGAAACAAAUGACGGUACCCUUGGAGGAAGCCCCGGCUAACUACGUGCCAGCAGCCGCCGUAA